UACGUAGGGGGCAAGCGUUAUCCGGAAUUACUGGGUGUAAAGGGUGCGUAGGCGGCACGCCAAGUCAGUUGUGAAACCCGUAGGCUCAACCUACGGCUUGCAAUUGAAACUGGCGAGCUAGAGUACAGGAGAGGAAAGCGGAAUUCCUAGUGUAGCGGUGAAAUGCGUAGAUAUUAGGGAGAACACCGGUGGCGAAGGCGGCUUUCUUGACUGAAACUGACGCUGAGGCACGAAAGCGUGGGGAGCAAACAGG
Molecule: ribosomal RNA, 253 nt
Filed under: uncultured bacterium
Lineage: Bacteria
Description: partial 16S ribosomal RNA
Rfam family: Bacterial small subunit ribosomal RNA
Source: RNAcentral